GGGUCACAUCACCUUGAAGCACUGCUUCCCGUACGAUCACCGAAGUUAAGCGACGUCGAGCCUAGUCAGUACCUAUAUGGGUGAGCACUUGGAAAUACCGGGUGCUUCA
Molecule: non-coding RNA, 109 nt
Organism: Acanthosepion pharaonis
Lineage: Eukaryota; Metazoa; Mollusca; Cephalopoda; Sepiida; Sepiidae
Source: the annotation of a GenBank genome assembly